This 417-nucleotide ribosomal RNA is filed under the name uncultured bacterium. RNAcentral's name for it is "bacterial SSU rRNA". It matches the Rfam family "Bacterial small subunit ribosomal RNA", at positions 958 to 1375 of the family's 1533-position model. The record is from RNAcentral.
AACGCGAAGAACCUUACCUGAUCUUGACAUCCACAGAACUUUCCAGAGAUGGAUUGGUGCCUUCGGGAACUGUGAGACAGGUGCUGCAUGGCUGUCGUCAGCUCGUGUUGUGAAAUGUUGGGUUAAGUCCCGCAACGAGCGCAACCCUUAUCCUUUGUUGCCAGCGGUUAGGCCGGGAACUCAAAGGAGACUGCCAGUGAUAAACUGGAGGAAGGUGGGGAUGACGUCAAGUCAUCAUGGCCCUUACGACCAGGGCUACACACGUGCUACAAUGGCAUAUACAAAGAGAAGCGACCUCGCGAGAGCAAGCGGACCUCAUAAAGUAUGUCGUAGUCCGGAUUGGAGUCUGCAACUCGACUCCAUGAAGUCGGAAUCGCUAGUAAUCGUAGAUCAGAAUGCUACGGUGAAUACGUUCCC